UGCACAACGUGAAGUACCCGGAUGACCUACUGCUUCCGCCGCGGAGCUGUCAGAAUCAAAAAUGGGGGCAGGCAGCGCGUCGGCUCUUUUUAAGUGCCAAUUCUGCAGAUGUGACUGAAAAAGACAGACAUUGAGACAAUGGUAAGAAUGGUGAUUUUGUUUAAUUAAACAAUUAUAAGCCUACUCAGACCAGACAGACCAGCCCCAGUCCUCCAUUUAUAGGAUGGCACUUCUCUUGUUAUAAUUGAGUGAUUAGUUUUAUUUGUCUUUAUUAUUGGGUUUGUGUUUGCUUGCUUUCUUUAUUUUUCAUAUUCUGUUAUUAAUGGCACAAUAUAAAAUGACUGGGUUUCACAAAAUGUCCUUGAUGGUAUUUAUAGUCCUUGACCUACUGAACCAGCUUGAGGAUGUGUUUUUAAUGGAGUUUCCAAAGCACUUCUGUAAGUUGCUCUGUAUAAGGGGGUCUGCAAAAUGUUGAAGCAAUUUAAACUUGAAAGUAUAAUGUACAUAUAAAAGUGCAGUAAUACAUGCAUAUUAUAUGAUUUGAAGUCGAUCAAGUUGUCAAGUUAGUUAGUAUUAUGUGUAAAUUUACACACAGGAGCAGGAUAAAACAUUUUUCCAAAUUUACAGGAUUUUCAUGAAUACCAAUUUAAAUUAAAUCUGUUGUAUCCAGCUUGAUAAAUGAAGCCCGUUGUCUGUAAAAAGUCCUUAGUGGUCACACCUGCACACUUAUUGCUGAGCAUUCAUAUUGCAGCUGAAAUGUAUAUAGGGAUGAUACAUAUGCAUGGACGAGCAUUAAUUUAUCACUGAAUUCACCAAUGGUAUUGCACUAUACUAAUUGAUAAGUACUCACUCCCGAUUUCUUUUAACGAUCUAAAUUAGUACUAGUAUUUAAUUCUCUUGCACACUCACACUACAUAUGUUAAACAUGGUACUAUCUGUAUUAAUUUCAAGUCCACUUGUAUCCAACUGUAUGGUUGCACAUUAAAUAUCACUGACUUUGGGAGGUCUCGCAGGUAAAACGGCAGAUUUGAUUGGUCCUUCUGACAUGAGGACAAAGGACCUGCCCAAGAAGCUUUGAGAUAAAGUUGUUAGAAAAAGCUCGUGAGAGUUUAAAAAAAAUAUUUCAGCAAUGCUUUGAACUUUCCUAGAAACUCUGUGAAAUCCAUUUUAACAAAGUGGAAAAAAUAUGGCAUAACCCAGACACUACCAAAUUCAGAAAUCUUUCCAAAUUGAGCACACAGGCAAGAAAGACAAUAUCAAAUACAGCAGACCGAAUACAGCCCAACACCCAGGUAACACCAUCCCUACCUCAAGGACAGUGGUGGUAGCAUCAUGCUCUGGGGCUGUUUAUCAGCAGGAGGAAGUGGAAAUCUUGUUACCGUCAAGGGAGAACCUGUUCCAGUCAGCCAGAAAUCUGUGUCCAGGGUGAAAAUUUACAUCCCGACAGAACAAGACCCAAAGCACAGGGCAAAACUUAAAAGGAAUGGCAUGAAAAAAAAAAGUUUUUGUUCUGGAACGACCAAGUCAAAGUCGAGACUUAAAUCCAAUUGAUAAUCUGUCGCAUGACCUGAAAAUUGCUGUCCACCAAUGUUCUCCAUCUAAAUCAGGAGAGUCGGAGACAUUUUUCAUUGGGUAAUGGGAGAAAAUGCCAAAAUCAAAAUAUACAAAGCUCAUAGAGAUAUAUCCGAGCCAACUAAAGGCUGUAAUUGCUGCAAAAUAACAGUGCAGUAAGUAUUGAUUCUGGAAGAUGAAUACUUAUUUAUUUUAAUUUUACUUCUGUAAAGUGUGGAAACUAAAUAAGCAUUUCUCUACAUGGCAGUCAAAGGUCAGUCAGUAAUUAAUCAUUCAUAUGACUUGAUUUAAUAAUUUGUUCUAAGUGGGUAACUAACUACCCAUUUUAGGUGUAGGUAGACUUUGGUGUGAUUUGACAAGAAAGGGUGCUGAGUAGGAUGUGAACAUUUAUAUGUGUGUUUUGAACUUGUGUCUCCGAAACCAGUAUAUAAACUGUUUGUCUGUCUUGGUAGGGAGAGAUGAGUGGAGGUAUACUGUGUGUGUACACUUAUCUCUCUAUCUGUAAGAUUGCAAUAAGGCUCAAGUUAUUUGGCAUAGAUUGUGACGGUGGGCCACCAGUCCACAUGCACAAAGCUCAGCACGCUCCUCGCAUGACUGCUGGCAUGGUGCUGAAAGGACAGCGCCACUUCAACACCACUGUUUUGGACGGCGAGUGAGCACACGACCAGGAGGCGGGGCGAAGUAAUAGAACACGGCUGGCAGCUGCUAACGACAAUGGCUGCUCCUCAUGCUCACAGAGAAUCCAAGGGAGUAUAAAAGGGGGCCUUGGCUGCAGCAUGGUGAGCAGAUUCUGUUUCCAUACUGAUGCUGGUUAACCUCUUUUACAGAAACUGCUGACAGCCAUGAUGGAACCGUGCCCUCUGCACCACGCUGAGAGCUCUCAUCCCUGGCACUCAAGGGAAAGCCCCUGACCUCUCACCACCGCUACCUCACUGCCCACGCCAUUACACCUGGCCCACAAAGCCCAGCAAGAUGCCCCUCUGCCUCGUCUCAACACAGCCCACAAUGCCACAAGCCAGCCUCGCUCACAUCCCCUGCAUCACCGCCACACCACUUCCCUCUCACUUUCAGAAAAUAAACUCAGUGUUUUUGUACUAACGUUGCCUCUGCCAUGUCUGUGUUCUGCCAUUUGAGGCUGUGAGUUGCUACAUAAUUUAUUGAAUUUCUUCUACAGUUUUUGGCAUAGUCAGUAGGACUCCAACAUUUCAGGCUCAGGUAUCAUCAUGAGGCAGGUUUAAAUUGAAAUGAAUAUAUUCCAUGGUUUUUGAGGAGGGCUUUGUCUACAGUGACAAAAUAAAGGUAAGACCAAUCUGUGUCAAAUAACUGUUUGUGAGGCAGAAAGAAACAUUUUUAAAUUAUCCUGUGUGGAUAUAUGUUCCUUUGUUGAAAGGGAUUGUCCUGUGUGGGCUACACAUCAAACACUUCACUUUAUCUCGUGUGGGUAAACAAUAUCCUGUGUGAGUAUAUUGAAAAAGAUAUAUAAAAAAAAGAGAAUAAGAAAAUAAGAGAAACUGGACGUGACAACCAAAACCAUCAUGUUGUGUUGGUGGCCACCCUGUGUUGUUGAAAUGUGUUUUUGUGUAAUCCCUGUUUUGUGUUCUCCUUUUAGAAAAAAGAUAACACUUCAAACAAAACACCAACCGUAUCUGGACCAAUGAAAGAGAUGACCAAAGCCAGGGACAGUAGGAUGCAGCCCAAAUAAAACUAUUUUUUGCUUUAUCAGGAGGGUUAUUUCCCAAUGAAGGUACUUAUACUAGAGUACUAGAGUGGUGAAUUAGUGCAGGGCAAGAAUUGAAGAAAAAGGAAAUACCAAAAAGGGAAAAAAGUAAAUUGCGAAGAAUUUCGAAGAAGUGGGAGAGAGAAGCGGAGAUAAGACAGAGGAAGUUGGAAGAAGAAUUCUCACUGUAGGACUUACAGUAUUUGAGAUAUGAGUCAAAAUGUAAAACACUAUAGUGACACCAUUAGCCCGAUCAGGCUCAUCUCUCUUGCCUGAGUAGCAUGAGGGAAUACAAUGUACUGACCAAGUUUCAUGUCUGUAGGACCUAUAGUUUAGUCUGCGAGAUCAGUUAUAAUAAUAAUAAUAAUAAUAAUAAUAAUAAUAAUAAUAAUAAUAAUGAUUAAAGCUGCAAGCAGCAUUUUCGGGGCCAAGCACCCAGACUCGGUGAGCCACACAUUCACAGACUUGCUACAGUUGUUGCCUAAGCAAUCACAGGAAAGCAGAGCUAUAACUUUAGGCGAAGACAGUCAAGAGUAAUUUGUAGUUUCACUCAUAUGAAUGUUUUGACCAUAGACAGUGGUGAAAUUCUCUGACUGCAGGAGGAAACGUAUAGGAUGGAUAAAUGGGCAGCAGGGUGGCAAUACUGCAGCAUUGUUUCAACAGGUAUCAAGAUGAUGUAAGCUAAAUGUGGUGAAGAUUGGACAAAAUUUGGAGGAGGAGUAUCAAAAAUGCCAGUUAGACAUAAGCAUUUCUGGCAUGUUAUUGUAACCUUUGACCAGUAGGUGGUGCUUUCACAAAAUUUGUUGCAUAGCCUCAGGUCAUGGUCCCGAAGAUGCUUACCAAGUUUUGUGUUAUUUCGCAAAGUCAUUGCUGAGAUACACCCUCAUAUCCUGUUUGGCGGCUUCACCAUCAGAUUUGUUGACCAUUACGGGCAAACCCUCUUGACUAUUCUAAAUUAUUUUGAUACAUUUUGUGAGGCUUACUCUUAAGUUGAUGUAUGCCAAAAUUGGUGAUGAUGGGACAAAUUUUGUAGGAGGAGUAGGGAAAAAAAAGAUGGCGGAAAAUAUAAAUAAGAAGAAGAAGCAAUAUAGCUGCAAGCAGUCAAAUGGUCUAGGAGGAGUUUGAAAAAGUAGGUUUUUCAGAAAAUUCAAAAUGGCAGAAAAUCUAGUCAGGCAGAAAUUGAAACCA
Long non-coding RNA from Pangasianodon hypophthalmus (striped catfish), 4477 nucleotides. RefSeq lists it as uncharacterized. Lineage: Eukaryota; Metazoa; Chordata; Actinopteri; Siluriformes; Pangasiidae. The transcript has 2 exons. The record is from RefSeq and is a predicted model, not a curated record.